RNAcentral lists this ribosomal RNA (665 nucleotides) under Microascus longirostris. RNAcentral describes it as "mitochondrial SSU rRNA". It matches the Rfam family "Bacterial small subunit ribosomal RNA", at positions 430 to 1174 of the family's 1533-position model. The record is from RNAcentral. Lineage: Eukaryota; Fungi; Ascomycota; Sordariomycetes; Microascales; Microascaceae.
UUGGUUGUCGCAUGAAGUUUUGUCUAUGUAUUGAUAAUGACAGUAUGUAUAAACAGUCUUGACCAAUUACGUGCCAGCAGUCGCGGUAAUACGUAAGAGACAAGUGUUAUUCAUCUUAAGUAGGUUUAAAGGGUACCUAGACAGCCAAAAUGACUUAUAUUAGUAGUAUUUGGCUAGAGUUUUAUAUAAGAAGUACAGUACUUUUAAGUGGAGAGUCGAUAUUCUGUGAUACUCUAAGGACUGGUAAAGGCGAAGGCAGUCUUCUAUGUAAAAACUGACGUUGAGGGACGAAGGCUUAGGUAACGAACAGGAUUAGAUACCCUAGUAGUCUUUGCAGAGAAUAAUGAAUGCCAUAGAUUAGAUAUAUUUUGGUCUAUAAAUGAAAGUGUAAGCAUUUCACCUCAAGAGUAAAGUGGCAACACCGGAACUGAAAUCACUAGACCGUUUCUGACACCAGUAGUGAAGUAUGUUGUUUAAUUCGAUAAUCCNCGAAAAACCUUACCACAAUUUGAAUACUUAAUAGUAAAUUAAGAUACAGGUGUUGCACGGCUGUUUUCAGUUAAUGUUGUGAAACUGUGGUUCUUCAUGUAAUUAACGUAAUCCUUACCUCUAUUUAUAAAAUUUAUGAUAGAGCAUUUUUUUCUGCAUACUGGAAAUAAUAAAGA